This 253-nucleotide ribosomal RNA is filed under the name uncultured bacterium. RNAcentral describes it as "partial 16S ribosomal RNA". It matches the Rfam family "Bacterial small subunit ribosomal RNA", at positions 524 to 776 of the family's 1533-position model. The record is from RNAcentral.
UACGAAGGGGGCGAGCGUUGUUCGGAUUUACUGGGCGUAAAGGGCGCGCAGGCGGCCAUUUUUGUCAGGCGUGAAAGCCCCGGGCUCAACCUGGGAAUUGCGCUUGGGACGGGAUGGCUAGAGAUCGGGAGAGGAGAGUGGAAUUCCCAGUGUAGCGGUGAAAUGCGUAGAUAUUGGGAGGAACACCAGUGGCGAAGGCGGCUCACUGGACCGGUACUGACGCUGAUGCGCGAAAGCGUGGGGAGCAAACGGG